This 453-nucleotide ribosomal RNA is filed under the name uncultured bacterium. RNAcentral's name for it is "partial 16S ribosomal RNA". It matches the Rfam family "Bacterial small subunit ribosomal RNA", at positions 28 to 523 of the family's 1533-position model. The record is from RNAcentral.
GACGAACGCUGGCGGUGUGCUUCACACAUGCAAGUCGAACGAGGUAGCAAUACCUAGUGGCGGACGGGUGAGUAACGCGUGGGAAUCUGCCUUUAGAUGGGGGAUAACGGGCCGAAAGGUCCGCUAAUACCGCAUAUGCCGCAAGGUGAAAGGAGUAAUCCGUCUAAAGAUGAGCCCGCGUCCGAUUAGCUAGUUGGUAGAGUAAGAGCCUACCAAGGCGACGAUCGGUAGCUGGUCUGAGAGGAUGAUCAGCCACAAUGGGACUGAGACACGGCCCAUACUCCUACGGGAGGCAGCAGUGGGGAAUUUUACGCAAUGGGGGAAACCCUGACGUAGCGACACCGCGUGAGCGAAGAAGCCCUUUGGGGUGUAAAGCUCUGUCAGCUGGAACGAAAACAAUGACGGUACCAGCAGAGGAAGCAUCGGCUAACUACGUGCCAGCCGCCGCCGUAA